CGUUAAAGUUAACUGUUAAAGUUGAUUGCCUCUAAUUUUUUUUAGUUAAAGUCAUCAUGUGUCAUAACCUCGGAGUGAUAUGUGGCAAAAAAAUUAUAAAAACUAUUAAAAAUCAUAAAAAUUAUUAAAAUUUAGUAAAAAAUAUAAAAAAUUUAAAAUUUAUUAAAAAUUAGAAAAAAAAUGUAAAAACAGUAAAAAAAUUAGGGACAAUUAACUUUAACGGUCAAAUGUUAAAG
Molecule: microRNA precursor, 236 nt
Filed under: Gossypium raimondii (Peruvian cotton)
Lineage: Eukaryota; Viridiplantae; Streptophyta; Magnoliopsida; Malvales; Malvaceae
Description: miR8698 stem-loop (gra-MIR8698)
Source: miRBase by way of RNAcentral